Long non-coding RNA from Drosophila nasuta, 1017 nucleotides. RefSeq lists it as uncharacterized. The record is from RefSeq and is a predicted model, not a curated record. The transcript is spliced from 5 exons. Lineage: Eukaryota; Metazoa; Arthropoda; Insecta; Diptera; Drosophilidae.
GUCAGUGAACGUGAACAAAGCGCAUUUCAAUUAUUAAUUAACAUAAUGAUCGGCUAAUUAAAUAUCGUUUGUGUGUUUUACUUGUGCUGUGUGUAAUUGAAAGUGUAUUUAUUUAAUCAAUAUUCUUUGUUUUAAUUUUUUGCUAAGUAAAGUGUCGAAGUUGUGCAUGCAGUUAAAUGCAAGCAAGAUGCAAGAUGAAAAUGGAGGAAAGCCUGUUUCUAUUGUUAAAUAAUAUGCGCAGAAGCUUAAAUUAACUAAUGAGUUGCAAAUAAAUGCAAUUUACAAUAGUUCAGUGCAUUAUUUUAAUUUUUUUUCGAGUGAAAAUUUGCAAAAGUAAGGUUAAGGUGAAAAGUGAAAAUAUUUCGUCAAGCUCUCUCCCCAAUUCCCCUCUCUAUGCUGCUUGGUGCAGUAGCUCGCCCGUGUGUGUGUAUGUGUGAAGCGAAGCUAAUGCUAAGAAAGAAGUGCAAGUGUUUGUGUUUUUUUUUUUUUGCUGUGCCUAAAAGUGCGUGUGUGUCAGAAGCAAAAUAUGUAUAUGCACAUGUAAGCCACGAAAGAGAAGUGUUUGUGUUUUAUUUUUUUUGCAUGCUGCAGCUGAUAUCUUCUAGCACACGCAUAAGUGCGAGUCUAAACUGAUGAUUCUUAAAUGCAACUAAAACCUAAGCGAAACUUGACUUUAAAAUCAGGAAAUAUUAACUUAAGGAUACUCCCUAUUAAAAUUCGCAACCGUAUGUGAAGUAUUGUCAUUAUUCCUUUUUUGCUGUAUUGACUGUCAGAGACCCUUAAACACAUCACACACAUUUAAACAACUUUAUUUAUUGAGGAUGACUUGCGGAACGGCUCAACCAGUGUGCAAGUGCGUGAAGUGCGGCAUCCAUUCCAGAUUUUGAAAGAAUUUUGCCAUCCAUACCGUCCUCCAAGUCCUUCCUUUUAGUAGUUUAAUUUAGAAAUAUUAAAUAUUAAUAAAUAUAUACAAUUAUGCAUUAUGCAUUCAUAUUAUAUCAUAUUCCUUAGAAAAAA